RNA transcript from Mastomys coucha (southern multimammate mouse), 3098 nucleotides. It is a transcript of the gene named family with sequence similarity 83 member F, with no coding region annotated. The transcript has 6 exons. NCBI's taxonomy places the organism in Eukaryota, Metazoa, Chordata, Mammalia, Rodentia, Muridae. The record is from RefSeq and is a predicted model, not a curated record.
GCGCUCCAGGUGCAGCGGUGGGGACGGCAGGGUCUGAGCCCCGGGCCCGGGGCAGGGCAGGGGCGCCAUGGCCGAGUCCCAGCUGAGCUGCCUGGACGAGGCGCACGUGAACGAGAGGGUGACCGAGGCACAUGCCGCCUUCUACUACUGCGAGAGGCGGCGGGCCGCGGUGGAGGCGCUGCUGGGUGGAGGCGAGCAGGCCUACCGUGAACGGGUCAAGAAGGAGCGGCUGCGGGACUUCCUCUCCAGCCGGGAGCGCCAGGCCCUCUGCGCCGCCUGGAGCCCCUACGAGGAGGCGCUCUCCAACACCCGUGCCAAGGCCAAGGCUAAGGCCCGGGCCGAGCCCGCUGAGUCCCUUGCCUACUGGCCAGACCGCUCGGACACCGAAGUGCCCCCCUUGGACCUGGGAUGGACGGACUCCAGCUUCUACCGGGGCGUGAGCCGAGUCACGCUCUUCACCCACCCGCCCAAAGAAGAGAAGGCGCCGCACCUGAAGCAGGUGGUCAGGCAGAUGAUCCAGCAGGCCCAGAAGGUCAUUGCUGUGGUCAUGGAUCUCUUCACUGAUGGGGAGAUAUUCCAAGACAUUGUGGAUGCUGCCUCUAAGCGUCGGGUCCCUGUAUACAUCAUCCUGGAUGAAGGCGGAGUGAAAUUCUUUUUGGAGAUGUGUCAGGGCCUAGAGCUUGCAGACUUCCGAAUUCGGAACAUCCGUGUCCGCUCUGUGACAGGGAUUGGGUUCUACAUGCCCAUGGGGAAGACCAGGGGGACUCUCUCAUCAAAGUUCCUGAUGGUCGAUGGGGACAAAGUAGCCACUGGAUCUUACAGCUUUACCUGGAGCUCCUCCUAUGUGGACAGGAAUCUCCUCUUGCUCCUGACAGGACAGAACGUGGAGCCCUUUGACGUAGAGUUCCGAGAGCUGUAUGCCAUCUCAGAGGAAGUGAACUUGUACCAGCAUCUGGGCCUGGCAGGCAGGAUUGGCCUCAACUACUCCUCCACUGUAGCUCGAAAGCUUAUCAACCCCAAGUACUCCUUAGUGGCAGGCACCCGCCCUCCUCCAGGAGAGAUGAUGCGCUGGGCGGCCCGGCAGCAGCGGGAAGCUAGUGGCAACCCAGAGGGGCAGGAGGAGGGCAGUGGUGGUGGUGAGUCUGCCCGGCGUCUAGAGAGCUUUCUGAAUGACCUGGUCACAGUAGAGCAGGUAUUGCCCGCAGUGGAACCCAUUCCCCCAAGAUUGCUAAGACCCAACGAUGGCAGGACGGUCUCUCAUGCCCACACAGACCUAAGGCACAAAUCCCGAGAGGCACUCCCCCAGAAUGGCAAGGGGGAAGCUGCCAAUGGAGAGGCCACCCCAGCCAAGGAGGGCAAACGCUUCAGCAGCAGGCUCUUCAGCCGUCGAGUGAAGAGGCCUGCCGUGCCCAACAGCAUGAUCAGCUCCCCCUCCACUGAGACCUUUGCUGAUGUGGAGUUUCCUCUUGGAAAGAGGCUCAACGAGGGUUCCAGUGCCAACAUAUCAGGUGGCAGCCGCUGAGCAGCUGACUACAACGCCUCACAGCACAGCAUGGGCUCCAAUCCUGGGGGAGCUGGAGCUUGAGUUGGAUUGGAACCACUUCAGCUUCUUCCUCAGAGAAAGACUCCAUCCAGGGAAGGAAUCCCCUUCCCACAGGGAGCGUUCAAGCAUCAACAGACGGUAAAGGAAUCACCAAGAGCAGCAAUUGUGUGAUCUCCUGAGCUGCAGGGUCUUGGUGGGCAGGACCUGCAGAUGCCCACCCGUCUGCUCCUGUGCCAAGGGGAACUUGGCCUUUUCCAUGCACUGGGUCACACAUCAGACCCUCAGCAGACCCCCUACCCUGUAGCCUCCAUUCCAGUCUUAGUGCCGGAAUUCCAGUCAGCAGGAUCUGACUCUCAUCUCAGCAUGUAAACCAUCGCAUGCCUGCAGCAGACCACGGUGGUCUGACAAGGAACACCGCUACCUUGUUUACAUGAAGUCGAAGCCUGCCUACAGUCUGCUUUCCUUGUUACCAACCUGUCCUCCUCUGGGCCAGCCCUCCCUACAGGUGGGGCAAGAGCCAUUCUUUCUGCCUUGGCCGGACAUGAUGGCCAAAGCAGCCCAAAGCAGCCCCAACCACUUGGCCUUCUCCUUAGACAUCUGGUGCUGUCUGGUUCUUCAUACCCCAGAGGUUGGUGGGAAAAAAACGGAAGAAGGUGGGACUCUGAGCCAGUCUUGCUCCAGGUACAAGAUGCAGCUGGAACGACUGGAAUACUGGCUAUUACUGCCUUACAGACCCUCAUUCCUGAUGGCUGCUGAGCUAGUCUCCCACUGGAAUUGGGUGGGGAUAAGAAUUCUGCCUCCCUCCAGCUAGUGGCAGGAUCUGAUAGUGCUGGCAGAGAGCCCCUUCUUUCCUACACUGUAGCCGCCUGAGUGCCCUGGGGCUCCCUGGCUGGUGCUGUUGAAAGCUAGAGCUUGUAGAGUGCCUUUGCCCAGCCUGCUCCUUUCAGUAGGCUUUUGUUUACAGACCCUGUGGAGGAUGGGAGUGCCAGGGAGGAGGCUGGGCCCUGAGGACAAGUGCAUUUGUGGUUCCUCCCAGCCCUCCCUCUUACCCACUAGGGCUUCCUCCAUGAAACUUCAGCUGAAGACUAGCCUUAUCCUCUUUCAGAACUGCAGGCUGUUCUUAGAAGCCUCAGCUUAAUUGCCAGGACAAGCAGCCCCCUCCCUUACAGUGACCUGUCCAGGCCAAGGGAGAGUGAGCGGGACAUAGAAGACGUAGUCGUGGUCUGUCUCUAGACUCUGGUCAACCCUCCUGAACAGGCAGAAUGACAGGGGCAGGGGGCCACUAAACCAAGAUCGUGUCCCCUUUCCUUUCUGAAAAGGCCUUGGGUACCACUAACACCAGGGAGGGACAAGGGCACUGUGGACUACAGAAGUGGGCAACUCAUGGCAUGGCGGCCUGUCCCUGUGUCUGGCCUCCCCGCUGGUGGGGAGGGGGAAGGGAAAUAAUGAAUGGCCUCAGUCCAGAGUCCCCUCUGUCCACCCUGGGGUUAGCCCCACCAUGGUUCCCAAGCCUUUGUGAGGAUUAAACACUUCUGGUAAGUGCUUCCUGAUUCAA